AGCUAACGCUGGCGGCAUGCCUAACACAUGCAAGUCGAACGGAAAUUUAGCUUCGGUUAAAUUUUAGUGGCAAACGGGUGAGUAACGCGUGGGAAUCUACCCUCUGGUGGGGGAUAACUAAAGGAAACUUUAGCUAAUACCGCAUAUUCUUGGUAACAAGGAAAGAUUUAUCGCCAGAGGAGGAGCCUGUGUCAGAUUAGGUAGUUGGUAGGGUAAUGGCCUACCAAGCCUGUGAUCUGUAGCUGGUCUGAGAGGAUGAUCAGCCACACUGGGACUGAGACACGGCCCAGACUCCUACGGGAGGCAGCAGUGGGGGAUAUUGGACAAUGGGGGAAACCCUGAUCCAGCAAUGCCGCGUGAAUGAAGAAGGCCUUCGGGUUGUAAAGUUCUUUCGCCUGUGACGAUAAUGACGGUAGCAGGAAAAGAAGUCCCGGCUAACUCCGUGCCAGCCGCCGCUGUAA
This 461-nucleotide ribosomal RNA is filed under the name uncultured bacterium. Its description in RNAcentral is "partial 16S ribosomal RNA". It matches the Rfam family "Bacterial small subunit ribosomal RNA", at positions 29 to 523 of the family's 1533-position model. The record is from RNAcentral.